GGGGACAAUACCUGCUUGGAAGGAAAGUUGCAGAGGAAUAGGCAGAAGGAACGAUCCCUGCCGGUAAGGAGAGCUGCAGCCUGUUCGGGUGGAAGAGCUCCGUAGAGACCCCAGUCAAGCUGCGGUGACUGGGGUUGAAGCGUGUGGCGAAACCGGCCUCGCCACGUGUCUUUGGAGGGGGCUGCUUGCCCGCCUCUUGCCUUUGGACUAUGGACCAGACUUUAUGUGAAGGUAUUAACCCAGAUAGCUAUGCCAUG
Pelobates cultripes (western spadefoot toad) is the source of this 257-nucleotide non-coding RNA. Lineage: Eukaryota; Metazoa; Chordata; Amphibia; Anura; Pelobatidae. The record is from the annotation of a GenBank genome assembly.